UGACAUUAUAAUCCCCCUAACCGAGAUCAUGGGGUAAUAAUAUCUCUCAUAUCCACUAGUGAAGGGAUUAGUGGAAAUAUCCGUAUCG
This 88-nucleotide non-coding RNA is filed under the name unclassified sequences. Its description in RNAcentral is "PhotoRC-II RNA". It matches the Rfam family "PhotoRC-II RNA". The record is from RNAcentral.